This 5589-nucleotide long non-coding RNA is filed under the name Homo sapiens (human). RNAcentral's name for it is "non-protein coding lnc-SERP1-4:4". Lineage: Eukaryota; Metazoa; Chordata; Mammalia; Primates; Hominidae. The record is from RNAcentral.
AGGCCGGUGCCGGCGUCAGCGCUGGGCUCUCUGACUGAGGGAAGGAGCGGCGAGUCCGGAGUCGGAGAUGCCUAAUUCAGCCGGGAGCCGCGGGCCGGAGCUGGCUGAAGGUCCGCGGGCGGGCGGUGGGGCUGUGGCGCGGGCAGGCGGCCCUCCCUCCCCGGCUCUAGCCGGAGCUCAGCCCCAGGGACAUGUCGACUGCCUCAGGCGGAAACCCGCUCUGGGGGAGGGGAAAGCCGGCUCGGUCCUCCCCUUACAGGGGGAACCACCCCUGCGGGCGGGCGGCGACGGCGGUCUCGGCCUCCCCUCGCGGCUUCUCUCAGAGAGGGGCGGCGGCGGCAGACCGCUGGCACGGGACCGGAGGCGCCCCGGCUGUGUGAGGUAGCGGUGGUGGCUUCUCCGGCUCCUCCUCGGUGCGCCCAAUUCCUAAACCCCGAAGAAACUGAAAUUCAAACUGCUGAAGCGGCGGCUGCAGCUCCCUCCGCUGGGCCAAGAUGGGGCUGAAAUGGCCGCGCCAGGGAUGCUGGGAGGAGCAGCAGCCCCGCUGCCGCCGCCGCUGCCGACUAAAAUGCCGCCGCUGCCGCAGCCACCGCCAGCGCCGCAGCCGCCGCCGUUCCGUGACGCACCGGCGUCGUGACGUCACCGCUCCGCCCCCUCCGGUUUCCUGCAGUUUCGCGUGGAACCUGGGGUGGGGGGCAAUGGGCGGGGCUAAAGGUUAAAAAAGGGAGCGGUUUCUUUAUUUAAAAUUUUUAAAAUUUAAAUUUUGUGUUGUAGGUUCUUUAAGCAUUGACGAGCUAAAGACCAUUUUAAAUUCUAAGCCUAGGGAAGCUUACAAUGGAACUAAUCAGAUGUUUUUAUGUCGGUUUGUUCCGAGACAGUGGAAGACUGGAGGUCAUGUGCUUGUGUCUAAUGUUUAGCAAAAUCUUAGUGAAACGAGGGCGAUAGGAAUGGGGGCUGGGGAAGACUUAGAUGGGAUAAAAAGAGGUGCGGCUGGAAGAACUAAAUCACUUUAAAACUUCUGAAAAUAAAUGUUGACCAUUGUAGUCAGAGGAGUAAAAUGUUCAGAGAAAUGGGGAUGAUUAAACAAGAACGGCAAGCCAGAUUGAGUCAGAAAAUUAUCUUCCUGCCAGAAAUUCUGUCUCCCACAACGGCAUCAGGGGGUGGUUACUUGCCCAGGGUGUAGUCAGUUUUUAAAAAGCUUAAGGGUUACCAACAUAUUCCUAAAUUUCCUGAAUUUGCUGUGAUUCCAGGAUUCAUUUAAACUCUUGAGACUGUUUUACUUUCGGCACGAAAUCAGCUCAUGGGCUUUAUAAAUGUAGAACCUACUGCAUUAUAGUUCUUCUUUUUGUUUAUUCUAAAACUGUUAGUAGCAGCCAGCGUAUUAUAUGAUUUGGAUUGGGCCAUGAACAACCGUAACGAGUGAUAAAGCACCCUUUCCUGUUCCAAUGCAAAGAACAACUAUGAAAAGAAAGUACUGGCAAAUUUAUCAUCUUGUAGUUAGUUCCUGGCCAAAGAAAAUGGUAAGGCCAUUCUUUUAAGCAGUUAAAAAAAAAUGGGGAUGGGCUCUUAAACUUUGGCAUGCUAAGGCCAUUCUUUUAAGCAGUUUAAAAAAAUGGGGAUGGGCUCCUAAACUUUGACAUACUAAAGCAGUCGUCAUUUAGGUAAAAUCUAAGUCUUAAUGGAAAUCGUGAUUUCAUAUCUACUGCAGCGUUAGCAAUCACAUAAUGAUAACUUAAAUCAGUAAAUCGUUGAACUCGGUUCUCUAAUCUUUGAAGAAUAGAAAUACUUUUUAUCCCAAAAGAUGUUUUGAGAAUUAAAUUUGCAGAGAAUUUUUUAGGUCUUUAGUUGUAAUUUAUAGAGCUAGGUCUUUUAACUUUAGUGGAAACCAUGCCCUCCAAACCCAAGUGACUGGAGUCAGAAUGUGAAAUAAGACGACAUAAAAUCCCUAUUUCUUAAGGGGCUGGGCGAAAGUAAUGGAACAAAAUGUAACGUUAUGCUAUUGUGGCAGAGAUAGCUAAUGGAAUGUUUCAUUUCUAAGUCUGUAAUUUCAGUAAUUGUUAGAGGCAGUUUUCCAUCAAUAAGUUAGAUCAAAUGGUUAAACCCAAUAUGAAUUUAUAAAAGCUUAAUUUAAUUUUGGAUUGAUUUACCAGAUGUUUAAGGUGGUUAUAAUGGGUAGUGUUGAUGGUGGUGCUUUUGGAAAAAUGAGUAUUAUAUGCCUGCUCAUCCCUUUACAUUAUCUUAUCAUAUAAACUUCUUGAUUACUCGUUAUGAUACUCUUAAAUCGUACAUUUAGAGGAAAAAUCUUAAAGUAAUCUGUAAGACCAUUUCUCCUUAAAAUGAUAUAUUAUGAGAUGAAAGGAAAGAUAAAGAUAAUUUAGAAGAGAUCCAGAAGUGGACUAAAUUUCUGGUAAGGAGGGGGCUAAAGAUGUUAAAAGACAUCUUAGGAAAAGCAUAUGAUUUAUAACUUUUAAAAGUGUCAUUUAGAUGGUUAAGGAUUUGUGUUUAAUAGUUCUCUUGAAAAUAUUGUUUUCCAAAAGUUUAAAAGCCCUAGCUACUUUUAUACAUUUGCCCUUAAAAAAUGUACAGAAUUUAUUACAUCAAACUGCUACAAAGAAAUAAGAAUUCUGAUUUUUGCAAGUAAGUUGGAAAUCAACGUAGAGGACAAAAAGUGGCAUAGCUAUAUCUAAACAAAAAAGUAUGUAAUUCAAAAGUUGGUCCACAAAGAAUUGAAAGCCUUUCAAUAACUAAUUUAAAUGAUAGAAAGCAGUAUGUAUAUGCAAGUACAUAUGCUCCCUGUAUAGAGAGUGGUUAGUAAGUAAGAUGGUAGCCUAACUCACUGGAAUAAAGAGAUCCUUGGAGUCCCAAACCUCAAGACUAGGAGUCUUAAUGCAGUUACCAGGCUGCAUGCCUGUACCCAGAGACCAUACUAGAGGCUGUGGGAAUCCUCGAUUACUGCUCUUAGAGCCCCCAACUUGACUGUUUCUUCUGUACCUGGUACUUUUUUCAAAUAUUUCAAAUUGCAGUGAUGCAUGGGAGAUACAUUUAGAAAACAUAAUGCAGGGGAAUAAAAGCAGUUAAAAACUAAGGACAGUUUCUACUGAUGAAAAUAAAAAACUGCUACAGCAACAUCUUUUCAUCAUCUGUAAACAUCAUACCCCCAAAUUUUCCUAAGUUAUUAUCUAACCUCAUCAGUAGCAGAUGGUGAAUUAUUUCAUAGAAAAUCCUGGAAUGUAAACUCUAGAUACUCAAGAAAACCUCUUUUUUUUCAAUGAAGGUAUAUUAUAUUUAAAAUAAUAAUGAUGCAUUAAACAUUAUGGGAUAAAGAAAAUACUUUCCAUAGAAAUUAAGCAAUGGCCUAGGCAAAGAGAAGUAACCCUUUAGCAUUAAUACUAUCAGUUAGACAGUGACAUUUAUUGAACAUUCCCUGUGUUGUGUAUUAAGAAUUGGACUACCUAUAUCCCAGUCAACAAUUUUUUCUGGAGUUUAGAAAUAGUUUAUGCUUAUUUUCUGUGUUUUUUAUUACCAAAUUGUUAUUAGUUUGGUGCAAAAGUAAUUGUGGUUUUUGUCACUUACAUGAUGGCAAAAACUGCAAUUACUUUUGCACCAACCUAAUAGAAAAAUACAAAAUGGAGAAUAGUUUUCAGGUUCCACAAAGCAUUUGCUGGAAAUAAAUAUCAGUUGUCUAAAUAAGUAGUACUUGAUUUAUUACUAUGAUUUUCGUAGGGUUCCAUUUCUGGAACAAUAUCAUAUUAAUAAACCCUUUCAGUGAGACCAUUGUGUGGUAUUGCCCAAAAAGGAAAAAAAAAUGUAAUGAGAAAGGACUAAGGCUAAUAAAAUUCCAUAAAUACUAUUAUAAAGAAAAGUAUAAUUUGACUGAGAUGCACAAAUGCUUACUUGAUAAUGAGGUGUUUUUAAGGAAACUUCUAUUAAAUACUCUUUUUGAGUUUAAUAUACUAUGAAACAAUGUUGUCUUUUUUUUUUUUUUAAUGAAGAUUUCCUUGACUUCCAAAGACCUUUGAUGUUCAAGCAAAAUGUAGCAAUUUGGUAAAAGUAAAGGGUGCAUUUCGAACUGAAAUAAACAUAAUGUCCUAUUAAGACCUGUAUUAUAUUUUAUGGAAUUUAACUUAGAAUGUAAGAUAUUAGCUCUGCGGUUUUACAAGCUUGUUUAAAUUCUGCAAUGUAGGGCAACAGAAAAUCCAAACAAAAUCCAUUAAUGACUAUAUUACUUCUUUAUUUUUCUUUUUAAAUAUUAUAUGUGGCCAGUCAGGAUGAAGUUUUUUUUAAACUACAUUUCCUAGUUGGACAGAUCAAGAGUAAGCUCCAGUUUUGCUAUAAUCUCGUUUUGUGAUUGCUGACAAGUCUAUUACUCCCUCAGUUCCCCUAUCACUAAAAAGAAAUAACAUUGUGGUAAAGAGGUGUUAAACUACCAAAUCCACUGAAAAAGUAUGGAAAAAGGUCACAGAUGUGGCAGCUUUGGCAUCUUCAGAAGAAAAGAUAGCAACUCAAUGUGAUACUAUUGGCAAUACCAUUUGUUAAUUGAAAAAAGAAGAAGAAAGCAGUUACUAGACAUCCAUGAUUUUAUGGAGAAGCCAUAUUCUGUCAUAGAUGAGCUAUUUACAGACAUUCAAUGGCACAUUCUUUGACAAAGUGAAUCAUCACUGUCUAGUCUUUCUUGUAUAUGAAUUUGAAGUAUUGAUUAAAGUUGUAGCAUACCUGUAAUUUUAAACUGUAAAACUCUAACACUCACAAAAGAACAUUGAAAGACUGCAAAUUUCUAGACUUGGAGGUUAUAAUUCCUUCUGUAUGUUACUACUAUCAGCUUAUAAAAUUUUAAAAAAUGUGAGUGUAGAAACUUAUAUAAACUGUAUUCACACAUGAAGGAUAGCCUAAAUGCUCCGGACUGAUAAUCUGAAGGUCAUUCUCACCUGGCUGAUUGAACUACUUUUAUUCAUAGAAGCCAAAGUUUUGAAAGGUACAGAUAGAAUCUUGACUACCUUGCAUUCGCAGUUACGUUUUAAUUGCAAAAUAACAAGCUCUUUAGUCACUGGAAACAAAACACUUUUAGCAUUUAACUUUAUAAUACUUGAAAUCCUACCUUGAAAGCAUUCAUACUCAUUAAAAGCUCAACACAUGAUCCAUGUUUACAUAAGGAUUUGGGUGUUGCUUAAAAUGAUCAUGUAAUGAGCUGCUUCUCUGCAAAUUAAUAUUCACUCCCUUCCCUCAUCCUUAAUGUGGGAUCUUUGAAGGAAAAGGAAGUGACCAAACUAAAGACAUAGGGAAAUGCAAAAUCAAGGUGAAAAGUUACCCAGAGGGUUGUUUUAAUUUUGGCCAUCAACCCCCUAGUGAAUAAUGGUAACAGUAUUGUUUUGAGACCCAUUUUGUGGCAUUUACCUAUUGUUAAACUAAAUUGACUAGAUGUAAAUAUAUUUUCAUCUUCAGAUAUUUAGAAUUUCUAUCCUUCCCCAUUGUUUCUGGAUUUUGAUACUAAUCUUUUUUCUUUGCAUAUUGUAUAUAUUUACUCAACAACUAAUCUAAUUUUAGAUUUUUAGCUUAUCCACAUUUCAUUUUUGUUUAUUUCAUUGGUAUUUC